Long non-coding RNA from Ipomoea triloba (trilobed morning glory), 786 nucleotides. RefSeq lists it as uncharacterized. NCBI's taxonomy places the organism in Eukaryota, Viridiplantae, Streptophyta, Magnoliopsida, Solanales, Convolvulaceae. The transcript has 5 exons. The record is from RefSeq and is a predicted model, not a curated record.
CCCUCCAGAAUUCCUUCGCCCAUCUCUGGUCUAUUGUUCUCUAUACUUGCACAUCCAGAAAAUCCAUCGACACUCUUGUUGCAGUACAGAUCUGGAAAGCAUUCCUAUCUAAAGUUUAGCUAGCAGCGACGAUGAAUCAUCUUCGAAACCUGGAGUUAACAGGAUUUUUCAUUAAUUUGGGGUUUUGACGCAGCUAAAUUUGGUAGUGGCAAUGCACUGGUUUGUUAUGGAGUGACUGGUCCAUUGGGUGUUUACCAUUUGAAAGCAGGAUGAUUCAAUUGAAUGCAGAUCUUUCCACAAAUUAUAUGAUACAUAUAGUUAAAAGAUGAAGGUCAGGCUUUCAAAUUGACUUGAACUGUCAUCAACGAUUUUAAAAUUGCUAAGAAGUUUGGUAUUGAUUGAUUUUAGUUUUGUAAAGCUUAAUCUCAAGGAAAGAUGUGCUGCUUUGGUAUUGAUUGAUUUUAGUUUUAUCAAGCUUAAUCUCAAAGAAAGAUCUGCUGCUCAGGGGUAGUGAAGAUGAUACAGGGCUUUACCAAAUGUGCAGGUGCUCUCCAUUGGAUGCUGAAUCUUCAAGCAAACGUCAUCUUCCUCCUCGUGAAUGCUUUCCCAACAUGUCAUAUGCAUCUCCAACAUUUUCCUCUAGUCUCAAACACAGAAUUGUGAGGACUUAUUUAUAGUGUUGUAGGUUUAUAGAUACUUUCUCAACUUGUUGAAGCACAAAGAAUCAAUACUAUCUCCACUGAGGCUCGAUCUCAUGACCUCUCAUAUAGGAAAGUCACUUAUUAU